AUUGGAAUUUGUAUCGUGUUAUUUUUGUGUAAUAUUAAAGAGCACCAAUAGGUGAUGCUGCACAUCAAUUCUGAAUUAGUGACUUUCUUCCUUUGGAGUUACUUAAAGGAUAUAUACAACAAAAAUCUCAAAACACUUGAGAAACUUGAACAAUUAAUUACCAAUACAUGUAUUAUCAUUCCAGUCACAUUGCAAAAGAUUACAGUGAAUUUGUUCAGUACAAUCUUUUGCAGUGUGUCAAGAUUCAGUGUUUUGUUUUUCAACUACAUCAUGUGAUUGCUGCUGAUGGUAAACAUUUGUGAUUUAAAUUUCAUCAAUUGCCUGUAUUGGACACAAAAGAUUGAGUAUGUGCAACCCCAUCUAUUGGUUCUUUUUGGUACUAUACAGAAAUAGCAUGACUUAGAUUUUAACCCUUGUCAUACAAAUAUUCCAUAAGAAAUAAAUCACUAUCAUACAGGUGUUCUGAACAAAACACCCUGUGUUAUACCUGGGAAAAUAAAUGGAGCUAUUUAAGUUUUAGACAGGGCAUUAACUAGGCAUCCAAUGAGAGAUAGAAACAAGCAUUAGUGAAGCAU
RNAcentral lists this long non-coding RNA (575 nucleotides) under Androctonus crassicauda. Lineage: Eukaryota; Metazoa; Arthropoda; Arachnida; Scorpiones; Buthidae. The record is from RNAcentral.